CUACGGGGGGCUGCAGUUAAGAAUCUUCCGCAAUGGACGAAAGUCUGACGGAGCGACGCCGCGUGGGUGAAGAAGGCCGAGAGGUUGUAAAGCCCUUUUCUGCUUGAGGAAUAAGCCUGGUAGGGAAUGACCGGGUGAUGACGGUAGGGCAGGAAUAAGCCCCGGCUAAUUACGUGCCAGCAGCCGCGGUAACACGUAUGGGGCGAGCGUUGUUCGGAAUCAUUGGGCGUAAAGGGCGUGUAGGGGGAAGGCAAGUCUGGUGUGAAAGACCGCAGCUCAACUGCGGGGACGCGCUGGAAACUGCAUAUCUUGAGUUCCGGAGGGGGAGUUGGAAUUCCUGGUGUAGGGGUGAAAUCUGUUGAUAUCAGGAAGAACAUCGGUGGCGAAGGCGAACUCCUGGACGAGAACUGACGCUGAGGCGCGAAAGCGUGGGGAGCGAACAGGAUUAGAUACCCCAGUAGUC
RNAcentral lists this ribosomal RNA (463 nucleotides) under uncultured bacterium. Its description in RNAcentral is "partial 16S ribosomal RNA". It matches the Rfam family "Bacterial small subunit ribosomal RNA", at positions 339 to 795 of the family's 1533-position model. The record is from RNAcentral.